GCUCGGGUGGUGGAAUUGGUAGACACGCACGCUUGAGGGGCGUGUGGCGAAAGCCGUGCGGGUUCAAGUCCCGCCUCGAGCACCA
RNAcentral lists this transfer RNA (85 nucleotides) under Puniceicoccus vermicola. RNAcentral's name for it is "tRNA-Leu". It matches the Rfam family "tRNA". Rfam says of the family: Transfer RNA (tRNA) molecules are approximately 80 nucleotides in length. Their secondary structure includes four short double-helical elements and three loops (D, anti-codon, and T loops). Further hydrogen bonds mediate the characteristic L-shaped molecular structure. tRNAs have two regions of fundamental functional importance: the anti-codon, which is responsible for specific mRNA codon recognition, and the 3' end, to which the tRNAs corresponding amino acid is attached (by aminoacyl-tRNA synthetases). tRNAs cope with the degeneracy of the genetic code in two manners: having more than one tRNA (with a specific anti-codon) for a particular amino acid; and 'wobble' base-pairing, i.e. permitting non-standard base-pairing at the 3rd anti-codon position. The record is from RNAcentral. RNAcentral also lists the same sequence under 1 other name. Lineage: Bacteria; Pseudomonadati; Verrucomicrobiota; Opitutia; Puniceicoccales; Puniceicoccaceae.